GUCUAGGGCCAUACCACCCUGAACACACCCGACCUUGUCUGAUCUCACAAGCUAAGCAAGUUCAGGCCUGGUUAGUACUUGGGUGGGAGACAAAAUGUUCCAUGUUCUCAGAUCCAGGGCAUCUUGACC
This 129-nucleotide ribosomal RNA is filed under the name Carlito syrichta (Philippine tarsier). Lineage: Eukaryota; Metazoa; Chordata; Mammalia; Primates; Tarsiidae. The record is from RNAcentral.